ACCUUGCUGUCGGGGUCCUGCGCCAGGCACGCGUCCAGGACGGCGUCCGAGACCUGGUCGCACAGCUUGUCUGGGUGCCCCUCGUUCACGGACUCGGAGGUGAAGAGGAACGUCUCCAUCGCCAUUUCUGAUGAAGAAGCUACACGUCCUGUUGUUGGGGCAGGCAAGAGAGGGGAUAGAAUGGAAUGUAUGCACGGUUGAUCUAAGGCUAGAGUUGGGUCAUUUAUAGCAGCGGAGGCCGUGCGUAGGUUAAGUUGCUGGUGGGAUCGCGGGACUGAACAACCAUGGAUUGUUGUUGCCGCUGAGCCAAAGCGGCCCCGUCCUCACCAACCCAAAACCCAUGUUGCGGUGGGCCACGUCACCUACCAUCUACUGCUUAAUUCCCCUUUCUUCUUCUUCUCCACUUGCCUAUGUGAGGUGUUUCAUACGCUCGCAUGGUAGGCGUGGUUACACUCUCAGACUAAACAAAGGGUAGAAAACAAAAAGGCUGAUGAGCUGUUUCAAUUCGGACGAAACUGCACAAACUACAAAAGUGUUUCUGAGUGGCCAUGCUGGCAUGGACUGAUGGCGAUUGAAAAUACUCGGAGAUUUUUUUUGUUUGGCUCCCUGCCAGCCUAUUUCACCGCGUCAAGUGUGGUUGGUGGAGCUAGCACUGAUGACUGGUGGGUGGAUUUUUUUUUUAAUAUUCUUCGCUAAUUAUAAGCAACUCAAAAAGUCAGAAAUAUUCCUCUAUAUUAUGGGAUUGGGCCACCCAUAUUUAGCCCCACACUUGUGGAUGCUCCCACAUACGACUAUACGGAUAUAUGCAGCAAGCCGAUGCUCUGAGGUUAUUUGUAAAACUGCUGGUAUGUGGCCAUGUAGGGGUCAAUUAAUCUGUCAAUAGUUUCUUCAAGUUUUUUCAUUUCUGAAAUCAAUACAACCUUUGUUUAACUCGGGGAUAACGGUUUCGUUUUCAAUUAGGAGGAGAGCAAGAUAGAUUCUUCAAGUUGGUACCAAGAGCACCAAAUCUUUUUUUGUUUAAAAUUAUAUUUUUCAGUGCAUUCAUUUGAAAUAAAAUUGUGCCUAAUAGAUGUUACUCCAGUAUGUUUGUUUAUAAAAUUGGUCAAACUCUAAAAAGUUAGGCGGUCAACAAAUUUUAUACAUUUUGUUUGUGGAAGUAAAAAAUGGAUUGUCUCUUCAAGGUCCAAAGCGUUGCCGCGCGCAGGAUGCAGCGUGGUUAUCGCCUUGCUGGCUGACAUGUUCCUGAACACCAUCGCUACAUGUCCUGCAUAAUAAUUCAGGCAUCUAUGAGAGGAUGAGCAACCGAACUUGGAGUGAACAGCAUGCUUCAUGCAGAGACAUGGAGCAUGCUUCAAACCAUGCCGCUUUGAGUAAUCCGGCUGACGUGUAGCUGCAGGCAGAGUUAAGCAUGCUUCAUGUAGCUUUGAGUACCUACCGUACCGAUCCAUCCAUACCUUUUAGGCUUUUACAGUUAUAAGCAAGAAUAGUUGAUUCAUGUUGCUUCAUAAAGAAUAGUUGGUUCCUAGUCUCAAAAAAAGAAAAGAAUAGUUGGUUAAUGGAAUAAGAUAUUGGUCUUAGUGCGGUAUCUAGCAGGUGCAAGGCCGGAGCUUGAUUGAUUGUCCUCCUUUGGUUUUCUCGGUAAUAAUCAAUGUUCACGGCCGGGACCUAAACUUUGGGCGAAGAACACACUUCAGUUUACUCACUCUGUUCCGAAAUAGACAUAACAAGAUCUCUGCUCCAGAAUACAAAUAUUAUGAAACAUACAGUAAAAAAUAUCAAUAUCUACAAUAUCAAAUCAUGAUCAUAAGAUCUUAUAAUAAAAUAGUUUGAUAUAUUUAGGAAGUUUAACAGUGAACAUCAAAAGUUACACAUCUUGCAUUUUGGAAGAGAGGGUAUGAAAUUGUUUUCAGAACUAGGUUCAGGGUUGCCAGCAUAAUACAGGAGAACACAGAAAAUUUUAAUAGAAUGCAAGUGUGAAACAAAGGGAUGCAACCGUAACACGUUUAGAUAAAACACAUGAAAAGUGUAGCGAUGAAAUGAGAACGAAAAAGAUGUAAGAGUGGGUGCUGAAAUUGAUGCAUAAGAAACUAACCCAUAAUGGCCUCUUUGAUUAGCAGGAUUUUCAAAACACAUGAAUAGAUAAACAUAGGAAUUUUAGUUUGAGUGGACGUAAUUUUUAUUACUAGCAGAAACGAAUUAUAUGGAAAAAUUCAUACGGUUUGCAGGUGAAUCAAAUGAGUUACAUAGCAAAAAUUCCUAAGUAUUAGAAUUCUCCAGAAAUUAUUCAAAAAUCCUUUGAAUUGAAAGGCUCUUAGAAUUUUGUAGCACUAAUUGUGUUGAUUCAGAUGACAUUUGUCCCGUGGAUUAGGUUCCUUUGGUUUCAAGGAUUGAAGUUGGAGGAAAGAAUAUUCCUAUUGAAUGGGCACCAUGAAUGCAUUGAAACAAAGGAAUGGAUCCUAGGAAAUUUGAGUCGAAGGCAGGAAUUUAAAAAUGCAGGAAUAAAAGAAACGAAAUCACUAUGCGUACGACACUUCCGUGUCCGAAAUUGGUACGACACAACGAUGGAUGGUUGUAGCCAGCUCGGCUGAUGCGAUGGAUGGCUAGUACUGAUUGUCGUAUGAAAAUCGUACGCAUGAUGUCGUACGUGUAGCAGUGUCGUAAAAGGAAAAACUCAUGCUUACAAUGUUAUAUCCAUUUAAUUUUACAGGAUUAAAUUAGCACCUAAGCAUGUUUAAUUACAACAAAGAAAUUUUGUGUAAAGGUUCAUGAAAGUUCUGCUAUGAAAUGCGUGGCAGAGAAUGCUUACAAAAAGUUCGCAAAAAGUUUAGGUAAUGUUCCAGAUAUAAUUCCAAGUACUCCUACGAUAUUUUUCCCUUAAGAUUCUAUUCUUUUCAUUUCUUUAUAAAACUUUUUCCGAAGAUUUCUAUUUACAAUUUUUUUUACAUGAAACUGCUACCAUCAUGAAUCUCCGAUAUCAGGAAUAUUCCCCAUUUUGCACCGAAAGCAGAAAAGACUUGUCCCCAAAAUGAUUAAACCAGAUUCGAUGCUCCUAGAGAGAAGCUCAUACCAAUUACUAGCCACAGGAGGCCACCUUUCGUCAUGCCACAAGAUAGCAGAGUAGGCUGUUGUUAAGGCACAAGGAAGUUACAUUUUCUUGUUGGUUUGCUGAGCCAAGUGUUUCCUCAGUAAGUUCUACAGUUUAUUUAUAUUAAAACGCCAACGGAAGUUUUUGUCAAUCAAUUACACUAUAUAAAAGAAAAGUGCGCUCCAAGGUCCAAGCAAAUUCAAGCUGACCAAGCAUAAAACUUCAGAAUUAGGUGCUUAAAGUAUUUGGAACUGAGAAUAACAGGGUACGAAUAUCACAUAUGGUAUUACUGAUGCAGUUUCAGCAUACUAAAAAAUAACAGGACGACUGAUAGAGCAAACUGCACAGCUAUUGCAGUUUUAGACUCGAAAACGAAGGAAAACCACAAAAGAUAACAAAAGACCCGACUAGUAUAAACUCAGCACGUAACUCUGUCUGCCACACCAAAAUACCACUCACUAGACGCCAAUGCAGCGUGUCCGCGGCGAUAUCAAACCCCUUCUUCCUUCUAAAGAGCAGCAACUCAUUAAUCAGAGAUACAUCCAGCAGCAGUGAAACUCACUUCCAGCAGCAGUACCAGUCCUUAAGCAGAGGCCUUGUCAAACUUGAGGGGCUUCACCACCUCCCAGGUGAAGUCAGCAUCAUCACGGCCAAAGUGACCGUAGGCAGCGGUCUUGAUGAACCUGUUGCCACCCUUCUUCAAGUCAAGGUUGAUGCUGAUCAUACCAGGCCUGAAGUCAAAGUUCUCCUUCACGAUCUUCAGAAUCUCCUUGUCAGGGAUGGUGCCGGUGCCGUAGGAGUCGACGAAGACAGACAAAGGCUCAGGGACACCAAUGGCAUAGGAGAUCUGCACAAUGCAGCGGCGUGCAAGACCACUGGCAAUGAUGCUUUUGGCGGCCUGCCUGGCAAUGUAGGCACCACUGCGGUCAACCUUGGUUGGGUCCUUGCCAGAGAAGGCACCACCACCGUGGGCUCCCCAGCCACCGUAGGUGUCGAUGAUGAUCUUGCGGCCGGUGAGACCAGCAUCACCGUGAGGGCCACCGAUGACAAAGCGGCCUGACGGGUUCAGGUGGAAGAUGGUCUUCUCGUCCAGGUACUUCUCAGGGAUCACAGGCUUGAUGACAUGCUCCUUGAGGUCAGCAGCAAUCUCAUCGUUGGUGACGGUUUCAUCAUGCUGGGUGGAGAUGAGGACGGUGUGCACACGGACAGGGACCAUGGCACCACCCUCAUUCAGGUACUCAACAGUGACCUGGGUCUUGCCAUCAGGCCUGAGCCACGCACAGGUGCCGUUCUUGCGGACUUCAGUGAGGCGGGCACCGAGCUUGGUGGCAAGCACGUGGCUGAGGGGCAUGAGCUCAGGGGUCUCGUCAGUGGCAUAGCCAAACAUGAUGCCCUGGUCACCGGCACCAAUGUCCUCAGGGCGCUUGGUGAAGUGACCAUGCACACCCUGGGCGAUGUCAGGUGACUGCUGCUCAAUGUUGACGAGCACCUUGCAGCGGUCAGCAUCAAGACCAACAUCAUCAGAGAUGAAGCCGAUGUUGCGGCAGGUGUCACGAACGAUCUUCUCAUAGUCAACAGUGGCCUUGGUGGUGAUCUCACCGAAAACCAUGACCAUGUUGGUCUUGGUGCAUGUCUCGCAGGCGACCUUGCUGUCGGCGUCCUGUGCCAGGCAGGCGUCAAGCACGGCGUCAGAGACCUGGUCGCAGAGCUUGUCAGGGUGGCCCUCGUUCACGGACUCGGAGGUGAAGAGGAACGUCUCGGCCGCCAUUUCUUGCUUGGUGGAGAUACCCUUAUCUACCUCUGCGGAUUCAAACACGACGACCAUAUUAGAAAUUUAGAAUCAAAGCACAACGGCGAAUGGCUAGAACUAGCAUGUUUUGGCUGACUGUAACGACGAAAUACCAGAUCUGAGGAAUAAUAUUUGUUUUUUCAUUCGUAACGAAGACUACUGUCAAUUCCAAACAGACAUGUCCACAGAAAUUUCAAUCUGUCGACCGUACUAAUUAGCAUAUUAAGAAAAACUAGUACAGAGAUCUGAAAGUGGAUCGCACGACCGUCAACUAAUUUGCAAAUUAAAAUAAAUAGAACAAAGAUCUACGAGUGUCCCGUACGACCGUCAACUAGUACUGAUUUGCAAAUAUAAAAAGCCGUAUCAGAUCAGCAGUUGGCGAGAUCCAUAUGAAGAACACCAUGGGGAGAGACGCAAUUUCUCGGCCACUACCCACGGGUAACUUCCUAUCCCCGCGAAUUUCUAAACCGUCCCUAAAUUUCAGAACCAAAUUUCUUAAGUUAUCAACUACUAAUAACAACAAAAGCAAGAAUAUUCCCAACUUUUCCUUUCCUCUAAUGAGGAGUCGAAACAAAACAAAAACAAAGCGCGCUGAGACCAGAUCUACACGGAAGAAUCACCCGCUUCCAAUCGCGAAAGCAAGAGUCCCUCGCACGUGAAAACUAUCGAAUCCAACAGGAAGAGAGAGAGAUCUAGCAGACGAGAGACGGCAAACGAAGUACCGGGCGGGAAGGAGGAAGAGCUC
Molecule: long non-coding RNA, 5619 nt
Filed under: Brachypodium distachyon (stiff brome)
Lineage: Eukaryota; Viridiplantae; Streptophyta; Magnoliopsida; Poales; Poaceae
Description: long non-coding RNA (BDIS_LNC001740)
Source: RNAcentral